CUUGCUAUAAUUGUCAGCUAAGUGGCGCACGGGUGAGUAAUGUAUAGAUAACCUGCCCUUAAGAAAGGAAUAACAGUUGGAAACGACUGCUAAUGCCCUAUAUGCCUUUAAUACAUAAGUAUGCAAGGGAAACGCUUUAGUGCUUAAGGAUGGGUCUGUAUGGUAUCAGCUUGUUGGUGAGGUAAUGGCUCACCAAGGCUAUGACGCCUAACUGGUUUGAGAGGAUGAUCAGUCACACUGGAACUGAGACACGGUCCAGACUCCUACGGGAGGCAGCAGUGGGGAAUAUUGCACAAUGGACGAAAGUCUGAUGCAGCAACGCCGCGUGGAGGAUGACACAUUUCGGUGCGUAAACUCCUUUUAUAUAGGAAGAUAAUGACGGUACUAUAUGAAUAAGCACCGGCUAACUCCGUGCCAGCAGCCGCGGUAAUACGGAGGGUGCAAGCGUUACUCGGAAUCACUGGGCGUAAAGAGCGUGUAGGCGGGUAUAUAAGUCAGAAGUGAAAUCCAAUAGCUCAACUAUUGAACUGCUUUUGAAACUGUAUACCUAGAAUGUGGGAGAGGUAGAUGGAAUUUCUGGUGUAGGGGUAAAAUCCGUAG
RNAcentral lists this ribosomal RNA (600 nucleotides) under uncultured bacterium. RNAcentral's name for it is "bacterial SSU rRNA". It matches the Rfam family "Bacterial small subunit ribosomal RNA", at positions 72 to 693 of the family's 1533-position model. The record is from RNAcentral.